CCCCGUGGCUGUUGUUCAUCCCCGUCCCUUUCGCUCUAACCUCGCCAAAGUCGCCGCUCCUGCAGUCCUUCGGCGCCAUCCAAUCUCACGCCAGACUCCCGCGGUAGGAGAGGAGAGUAUGAACGAAGUUCCUUGCAGCGGCAGCGGCAGCGACGAGGAGCCCUUUCUGUUUCCACCUCCUUUCUUUCGUGGAUGCCGUGUCUUCUUUGCCCGUCAGAGCCCAGAUCUGGCUGUGGUUUGACUGGGAGAAGAAAAUAUACAAUUCAUUGUGGCACUGUUAACGCUAGCAUCAGGAGGUUGUUCAUGUCAUCAAAAUGUGCAACCAGAAUGAAAGUGCAACUACACUGCAGCUUCUUCGAGACAGGGUAUCCUUAAAAAGAAAUGUAAGACGAAGGAGGGUAGAGGAGAUCGAGGAGGGAGGGGGCCGUUGCGAGGAGAUAGUUGGAGGUCAAGCAUUGGCAUUGGAGACAAGGAUCCGCGAGCGGGAGAGGCGACGCUGGGCCGGCCAUUUCCACUGCGUCGGCAGAAGCCAGCGGAGUGAGCUCGUCAGCGUGGCAUCGAACUAUACAAUGAAGUCAGAGUCCAGCCAGAUCGUUUGCAAGGUGUGCAUCCCCAAAUCCAUCUCCUUCUUUACUCCCUUUGAUUUCAAUUUCCAGCAAGUGCUUUUCGGCCAACUAGCAGCGAACUAUCCGUCCAAGUCAACAUGAUAAGCCCCCUUCCCUUCUUGAGAUUGUUAUCUGUAUUGUUUGAUUUUUUUAUUCACUGCGGCUGGACAUGAUGUUGGCAAAUACAGUAGAGAUCAUGGGCUGAGACAAUACAAUAGAGAUCAUGUCGACGCUGGAAAUUUUGCUUUUUAUAAAAGCAGGACAGUUAAGAAAAUUGCUUAUAUUUUAUUCUUCAUUUAUAUAUCAGUUGAAGAAACUUUAUACAUUGGUUCCUAAUUUGAUGCAAAUAACCAAACUGAAUGGACAUUAUUUAGCAUCCAAGCACGGUGCGCAGUGCACCAGAUCUGAGGCAACACCGCCACCUGCAACUUGUCCUCCUUGGUCCGAUUCGCCACCCUGCAUCCCCCAAAACCUCAUAAGAUGCAUUUAUGUAAUGAUAAGAGCAGUACAAUGAAAGUCCCAAAUUUGUAUAGAAACAAAACUGAAAAGGGACAAUGUACUGCACCCGUAAUAUUCAGGCAAGUCUCUCAAAAGAAAACAGUUCAAUCAUAAACUGUAUAUUUGGUGAAGCGGUUAAUAUAGACUUGAAAUUACAAGUUUAGAAUUCGCUUCGGACUUUCUAAUUUAGAAGUAUUUAAGUUUAAAUUCAAUAAGAAUUCUGAACUGCACACGCUGUAGAAUGUUGUUCAAGAAAGGAUUGUUUACAUCUAAGCAGACUACUUUGAUGCAAUAUGGGUUUGUAAAUAACCUGUCAGCAACAUUAUCUGUUAUUACCUUCUUGAAGCUAGCAACAUGGUGUUCCUUUUAUUGGCCCAUAUUUAUUCUUAUAGCCUUUGGUUCUUCACUUGUGCCAACUGAUUUCUUAUCUUCAACCUCUGCUUAUUUGCAUAUGUCCUUAAUGUUGCUUCCUUUUCCUGGAGAGGCUAGACUUCAUAUUUUUUUGCCACUACAACAAUAUUUUUUUUACUAUGUAGUGAAAUAAGGGACCGACAACUGAAUAUUUUUAUGCCAACACACUUCUUGCUGGUGUGUCCUUUUAUCAAUAACAUGCUUGCUUCUCAAGAGACGCAAACUGUACCCGAUUAAGAACGAGAACAACAACCUUUGCUUCUACUAGGUACUUUCAUUUAUUGACAUUCACCUGCUUGUGUUGUUAACAUUUAGUUCCAUCUAUCCAUCAAUUAGUUAUUAGUUUUUGUAUAUUUAAAUUAAGCGUUGGGGAAGAGUAGCAAAUCAUAAAUUUGAAACAUGUAUCCUCGCAUUUGUGACUAUCUUAUAGUCCAUGAAUAAAUAGUUACUACUUCAUUGGCGCAGUAUUAUUUGCCGAAAUCCCUUUGGGCCAAUAUUUGACAUGUCUUUAUUUCCUCCUUUCCCUUAUACAAAUAUUAAAUUUUGGCCUGGGCUUAUGUUUUUACUACCCCUACAGAUCAUUAUUUAUUGUAAUUUUUCUGCAAUUUUCUAUAUCGCCUGUUCUGGUUGCACUAAAACUUUCUUCUGCUAAUAUAAUUUUUUUCACAUUCUGAGGUUUAUCUAUCCUUUUUUGCAUGUGAAGAUAGAAAUGAGGUUUUUAGAUAAAAGGCUAAGCUCUGAGGAAACAUGCCUUGAAAAGGUUCAUGCAUAGUUUGGAAAGCUAAUUAGUUAAAUGUUGCGUUCGAUAUUCUCAAGCAUCUCCUCGAUUUUAUCAUUACCAAUUUGAGACGAUUUUCUUUGUCUCGGUUUAAGGCUAUUUAGCCUUCAGUUCAUGACCAAUCUCAUAAUUUGCUCUAAAUGAUAGAAGUUUUCACUGCACGAGUGGUUUGGCCUGUUAGAAACAGUUGUAGUGUACUCAUUUGUUGGGAGUGUGAGUGCUCAUCGCACUAUGUAUUGUAGAAAUCCACUGGAUUAGCCAACGGUAUGCUGCACCGUUUGUGCACCGUUUGCUUCAAAACAAUCCUGGUAUAUUUACUGAUUAUACAAUUCUUUGAUUUCCAUUGGUCAUUUUUCUCUUUGUGUUCUCAACUCUAUAUGAUAUCUAUUUUUCUUAAAUUUUGUGCAGCAAAUGAGUAAGAGCUAUUACAUUGUACAUGCUACUUAUCACCUUCAUUGUUAUGUUGUGAACAAAGUUGAACUGUUUGGGCUUGUGAAAAAGGUAGAAUUUACUAGCCGUGUCAUGAGAUAUGGCCCUUUUUAAUGGCAUACCAUAUGAAGAUUCUUUUAGUCAGUAGAACUUCUAUGCAUGACUUCAGCACAUUACAUCUUCAUUCGGUGAAGGAUGUCAUUGGAAUUUUCUUCAUUAUUUAACCAAGUGAAGGAUAGCAUCACACAAUGGUGUAGUCUAGGAUAGCGAUACCUACAUUUUGAUUUUUGCACAAUACAUUGCAAUAUAAUAUACAUGAUUUUAACUUGGUACUUUUGAUGAAUUUUAUCUCAAGUUCUUCAAUGAUAAUAUUGUUUCCGCUUGUUGCUUAAAGCUGUUUCCCAAUCAAAAAAAUCUUCUAUCUUUCGGUUUGUUUCCAGCAAUGUGUAUUGUUAAAUUAUCUAUGUUGCUAUUAUUUUGGAAAUGAAGAGACUAUUCUUAUGAUAUUGGUUAAAAUACUAUUUGCUAGACACUUUUACUUCAGAUGUAUGGUUAUUGUUGAUACUAAAAUCU
Triticum aestivum (bread wheat) is the source of this 3294-nucleotide long non-coding RNA. RefSeq lists it as uncharacterized. The record is from RefSeq and is a predicted model, not a curated record. NCBI's taxonomy places the organism in Eukaryota, Viridiplantae, Streptophyta, Magnoliopsida, Poales, Poaceae. The transcript has 3 exons.